RNAcentral lists this ribosomal RNA (496 nucleotides) under uncultured bacterium. RNAcentral's name for it is "partial 16S ribosomal RNA". It matches the Rfam family "Bacterial small subunit ribosomal RNA", at positions 29 to 507 of the family's 1533-position model. The record is from RNAcentral.
AUGAACGCUGGCGGCGUGCCUAAUACAUGCAAGUCGAGCGAACAGACGAGGAGCUUGCUCCUCUGACGUUAGCGGCGGACGGGUGAGUAACACGUGGAUAACCUACCUAUAAGACUGGGAUAACUUCGGGAAACCGGAGCUAAUACCGGAUAAUAUAUUGAACCGCAUGGUUCAAUAGUGAAAGACGGUUUUGCUGUCACUUAUAGAUGGAUCCGCGCCGCAUUAGCUAGUUGGUAAGGUAACGGCUUACCAAGGCAACGAUGCGUAGCCGACCUGAGAGGGUGAUCGGCCACACUGGAACUGAGACACGGUCCAGACUCCUACGGGAGGCAGCAGUAGGGAAUCUUCCGCAAUGGGCGAAAGCUUGACGGAGCAACGCCGCGUGAGUGAUGAAGGUCUUCGGAUCGUAAAACUCUGUUAUUAGGGAAGAACAAAUGUGUAAGUAACUAUGCACGUCUUGACGGUACCUAAUCAGAAAGCCACGGCUAACUACGUA